CGAUCGAUUCUUAGCUUUCCUCUCCCUUAUAAUUCUGAUUUACGGAGCCUUCUGGUUUGAUUGUUUUUGUUGGCUUAUUUCUGAACCAAUUGUCUCUCACAUUUGAGAAAUCGACAGGGAGAGCGCUGGAGUAAGAAAUAGAGAGAACGAGAUUGAAAACAACAGAGUAAGUGACAGAGAUGUUGAGAUGAAGAGUGACGGAGAAGUCGAGAUAUAGAGACACGAAGCAAACGAAAUGGUCUUGCUUGAUGUUAUUUGAUCUCCAGAUAUUGGCAUCGUUCACGAUUCAUAAAGGUAAUCAAAUAUUGACCAGGAGCUUGAGAUGUCAAUUAACCAAAUCUGGAUGCUUUUCUCAUGAAUUAUGAUUAUACAUUGCUUCUUCUUUUGAGCUUCUGAAGGUAUUGUAUUUUUUUUCUUAGAUUACCUUGGAAUAUAAUGCUAUUGAGAACAGCUUUAACUACUGUAUUUUUAUAUAAGCACCCAAAAUGGACGAAGAAGUGUCAAAGCUGAAGGGGAAGCUAGAAUACAAUGAUGACGUAGAGAGUUUCUUUGAUGCGUUGUUUAAGAUCGUCGAAGAUCUAGGUCCUAACAGUGGCUUUAUUCGAUUUAUCUUGGGGAUGACGCUGAUUAUCACCAUGAGACACAUGAUAAUCUGAAAAUUGAUGUUAUGCUUGAUACCAUGAGACCUGAUUUGCAUGUUAUCAACGAUUCUGAGAGAGCCAUUACUCUUAAAGAUGACGGACAUGUGACAUUAAAACCAAACCAAGCUUAAGAAGAAGCCUCUUCUAAAGUCUUUCCCGUUAAUUUAUUGCCAACAUUCUUUCUCUACCAGAACGAAAUAAUAUCAUAUAUCUAACCACUGUUAAUCAUCUCUUUCCAUAGGGAGCAAUCUGGACUAAUGGGUUUACUCACACAGGCUUUGUUGGUAGGGUGGCGGAACCAUCCAGAUGAUGAGGUGCUGUUAAUCUCUCCGUGCACUCAAACCCAAUUGUAAACAACAUUGGUCCAGAAAACACCAACAGGUGUGAUGCUGCUGCAGCAAUCGAAGGCUGUUCAGAAGUGUCCGAACCAAAUUCUCUGCAAACUGAUACACUGGUGAACACGAAGGAGUAAACAACGGGUGCUGAGAAGGGUCCAAACUAUAAAGGGUCCUGAUCACUCAACCUAUAGAGACAAUGAAUCUGGCCAAAAAUUUCUUAAUUCCAUUUCUGCUUCCUGAGUUUUUACCCUUCACUGAAUAAUGUAGUUGUCUUGCAACUUUUUAGUUAAUCAGCUCUGGUUUUCGUUUGUUGAAGUAUAAUUGGUACAGCUGGUAAUUUUAGUAUUUAUGUUGUGGUUAUGAAACUUUUUUGUUAACCUGAUUUUUUUUGGGUUUCGUAUUGUUUUGGUAUCA
This is a long non-coding RNA of Raphanus sativus (radish), 1393 nucleotides long. RefSeq lists it as uncharacterized. NCBI's taxonomy places the organism in Eukaryota, Viridiplantae, Streptophyta, Magnoliopsida, Brassicales, Brassicaceae. The record is from RefSeq and is a predicted model, not a curated record. The transcript is spliced from 5 exons.